GCGUCCUACGGGACGCAGCAGUGGGGAAUAUUGCACAAUGGGGGAAACCCUGAUGCAGCGACGCCGCGUGAGUGAAGAAGUAUUUCGGUAUGUAAAGCUCUAUCAGCAGGGAAGAAAAUGACGGUACCUGACUAAGAAGCCCCGGCUAACUACGUGCCAGCAGCCGCGGUAAUACGUAGGGGGCAAGCGUUAUCCGGAUUUACUGGGUGUAAAGGGAGCGUAGGCGGCAUGGCAAGUCAGAAGUGAAAGCCCGGGGCUCAACCCCGGGACGGCAUUUGAAACUGUCA
RNAcentral lists this ribosomal RNA (287 nucleotides) under uncultured bacterium. RNAcentral's name for it is "partial 16S ribosomal RNA". It matches the Rfam family "Bacterial small subunit ribosomal RNA", at positions 334 to 638 of the family's 1533-position model. The record is from RNAcentral.